CCUACGGGAGGCAGCAGUGAGGAAUAUUGGUCAAUGGGCGGGAGUCUGAACCAGCCAAGCCGCGUGAAGGAAGAAGGCGCUAGGCGUUGUAAACUUCUUUUGUCGGGGAACAAAGGGGGCCACGUGUGGCGCGUUGAGUGUACCCGAAGAAAAAGCAUCGGCUAACUCCUUGCCAGCAGCCGCGGUAAUACGGAGGAUGCGAGCGUUAUCCGGAUUUAUGGGGUUUAAAGGGUGCGUAGGCGGUCUGGAAUGUCAGCGGGAAAAGCGCGGGGCUCACCCCCGGCGAGCAGUUGAAACUGUAGGCCUAGAGACGGCGAGGGGUACGCGGAAUGCGCGGUGUAGCGGUGAAAUGCAUAGAUAUCGCGCAGAACUCCGAGUGCGAAGGCAGCGUACCGGCGCCGAACUGACGCUGAGGCACGAAAGCGUGGGUAUCGAACAGGAUUAGAUACCCGUGUAGUC
RNAcentral lists this ribosomal RNA (459 nucleotides) under uncultured bacterium. RNAcentral describes it as "partial 16S ribosomal RNA". It matches the Rfam family "Bacterial small subunit ribosomal RNA", at positions 338 to 795 of the family's 1533-position model. The record is from RNAcentral.